UGGGGAAUUUUGGACAAUGGGCGCAAGCCUGAUCCAGCAAUGCCGCGUGCAGGAUGAAGGCCUUCGGGUUGUAAACUGCUUUUGUACGGAGCGAAAAGGUCUGCCCUAAUACGGUGGGCUCAUGACGGUACCGUAAGAAUAAGCACCGGCUAACUACGUGCCAGCAGCCGCGGUAAUACGUAGGGUGCAAGCGUUAAUCGGAAUUACUGGGCGUAAAGCGUGCGCAGGCGGUUAUGCAAGACAGAGGUGAAAUCCCCGGGCUCAACCUGGGACCUGCAUUUGUGACUGUAUAGCUAGAGUACGGUAGAGGGGGAUGGAAUUCCGCGUGUAGCAGUGAAACGCGUGGAUAUGCGGAGGAACACCGAUGGCGAAGGCAAUCCCCUGGACCUGUACUGACGCUCAUGCACGAAAGCGUGGGGAGCAAACA
RNAcentral lists this ribosomal RNA (427 nucleotides) under uncultured bacterium. RNAcentral describes it as "bacterial SSU rRNA". It matches the Rfam family "Bacterial small subunit ribosomal RNA", at positions 355 to 774 of the family's 1533-position model. The record is from RNAcentral.